GAGGGGUCCGCGUCCGAUUAGCUAGUUGGUAGGGUAAUGGCCUACCAAGGCCACGAUCGGUAGCCGGCCUGAGAGGGUGAUCGGCCACACUGGAACUGAGACACGGUCCAGACUCCUACGGGAGGCAGCAGUGGGGAAUUUUGCGCAAUGGGCUAACGCCUGACGCAGCAACGCCGCGUGGAGGAUGAAGGUCUUUGGAUUGUAAACUCCUGUCAGCGGGGAAAAAGCGACUCGUGCUCAUACCACGGGGAGUUGAUUGUACCCGCAGAGGAAGCCCCGGCUAACUCUGUGCCAGCAGCCGCGGUAAUACAGAGGGGGCAAGCGUUAUUCGGAAUUAUUGGGCGUAAAGGGCGCGUAGGCGGCUUGGCAAGUGGAAGGUGAAAUCCCUCGGCUUAACCGAGGAACUGCCCUCCAAACUGCUUUGCUUGAGGCCGGGAGAGGUGAGUGGAAUUCCCAGUGUAGCGGUGAAAUGCGUAGAUAUUGGGAGG
Molecule: ribosomal RNA, 488 nt
Filed under: uncultured Acidobacteriota bacterium
Lineage: Bacteria; Pseudomonadati; Acidobacteriota
Description: bacterial SSU rRNA
Rfam family: Bacterial small subunit ribosomal RNA
Source: RNAcentral